This 425-nucleotide ribosomal RNA is filed under the name uncultured bacterium. Its description in RNAcentral is "bacterial SSU rRNA". It matches the Rfam family "Bacterial small subunit ribosomal RNA", at positions 354 to 796 of the family's 1533-position model. The record is from RNAcentral.
GUGGGGAAUAUUGCACAAUGGGGGAAACCCUGAUGCAGCGACGCCGCGUGAGUGAAGAAGUAUCUCGGUACGUAAAGCUCUAUCAGCAGGGAAGAAAAUGACGGUACCUGACUAAGAAGCCCCGGCUAACUACGUGCCAGCAGCCGCGGUAAUACGUAGGGGGCAAGCGUUAUCCGGAUUUACUGGGUGUAAAGGGAGCGUAGACGGCAGCACAAGUCUGGAGUGAAAUCCCGGGGCUUAACCCCGGAACUGCUUUGGAAACUGUGCGGCUGGAGUGCAGGAGGGGUAAGCGGAAUUCCUAGUGUAGCGGUGAAAUGCGUAGAUAUUAGGAGGAACACCGGUGGCGAAGGCGGCUUACUGGACUGUAACUGACGUUGAGGCUCGAAAGCGUGGGGAGCAAACAGGAUUAGAAACCCUAGUAGUCC